UUAAAGUUUGAUUCUUGCUUUAAAAUUAACUUUUUAAAAAAUUUACAUGUUAUUUUAUUAAGUUUUUAUUAUUUUUGUAAUAUUAAUAUUAUGUCGCAGUAAUUAAUUUUAAACUACUAAAUUUUAGGUUUAUUUAUUUAUUAAAAAUUGAAUAAGUUUGUGCCAGCAUUCGCGGUUAUACUCUAUAUUUGAGUUAAUUUUUUUUGAAUAUUAAUUUUUAAUUUUUUAUUUAUUUAAAUAAUAGAUUUUAUGGGGGUAAAAUCUUUAUUUUUAUAUUUAAAAUAUUUUAUUAUUAUUUAUUUAGACAAAAUUAACCUGGAUUAGAUACCCAGUUUAGCUAAAUAAUUUUUUAAUCAUAGUAGUAAAAUUUAAAACUUAAAGAAUUUGGCGGUAAAUUAUUCUUUAUAGAGGAACCUGUUUCGUAAUUGAUAGUCCACAAUUUUUCUACUUUAAUUAUAUUUAUAUACCGUUGUUUAAAAAAUUAAUUUAGAAAUUAAUUUAUUUAAUUUUUAUAAAAAUAAAUCAAAUCAAGGUUUAGUUAUUUUAAAGUGAAAAUGGGUUACAUUAAUUUAAAAUUUUCGGAAUUAUAUAUUAUAUAAAAAUGAAGUUGGAUUUAUAAGUAAAAUCUUAAAUAUAUUUAUUUUGGAAUAGUUCUAAUUUAUGUACACAUCGCCCGUCAUUCUCGUUAUAAGAUGAGACAAGUCGUAACAAAGUAGAUUUUGCCGGAAGGGAUGUCUUGAUAAAU
This 745-nucleotide non-coding RNA is filed under the name Ptenothrix huangshanensis. The record is from RNAcentral. Lineage: Eukaryota; Metazoa; Arthropoda; Collembola; Symphypleona; Dicyrtomidae.